This 528-nucleotide ribosomal RNA is filed under the name uncultured bacterium. Its description in RNAcentral is "bacterial SSU rRNA". It matches the Rfam family "Bacterial small subunit ribosomal RNA", at positions 775 to 1299 of the family's 1533-position model. The record is from RNAcentral.
AGAUAAUAGAUACCCAGGUAGUCCACGCCGUAAACGAUGAGUGCUAAGUGUUAGAGGGUUUCCGCCCUUUAGUGCUGCAGCUAACGCAUUAAGCACUCCGCCUGGGGAGUACGGCCGCAAGGCUGAAACUCAAAGGAAUUGACGGGGGCCCGCACAAGCGGUGGAGCAUGUGGUUUAAUUCGAAGCAACGCGAAGAACCUUACCAGGUCUUGACAUCCUCUGACACUCCUAGAGAUAGGAUUUUCCCCUUCGGGGGACAGAGUGACAGGUGGUGCAUGGUUGUCGUCAGCUCGUGUCGUGAGAUGUUGGGUUAAGUCCCGCAACGAGCGCAACCCUUGAUCUUAGUUGCCAGCAUUCAGUUGGGCACUCUAAGGUGACUGCCGGUGACAAACCGGAGGAAGGUGGGGAUGACGUCAAAUCAUCAUGCCCCUUAUGACCUGGGCUACACACGUGCUACAAUGGAUGGUACAAAGGGCAGCGAAGCCGCGAGGUGGAGCCAAUCCCAUAAAACCAUUCUCAGUUCGGAUU